UGAGGCUUCCCAGUUGUCCCAGACCUCUCACCAGAUAUUGUCAAUGUCUCUGGUUACUUCACAUUCCCCUUAGAGGAUUUCAAGGAUUAAGGGAAACUGCCCUAAAAUAAGAUUAUCUUAUCUGUAUCUGCCCUUAUCCCGUAUGGCCACUUCCUUUCUGUUAAGACUUUGGAACAUAAAUUGGUAAGAGUGUGUGUGUGUGUGUGUGCACCCUCCCCUUAGUCACUAAAUGUUGUAUUUGGUGUCAUCACUGGGGUUGGCCUCACCCCCAGCCCCCACCUCCCCUCAGUUAUAUUUGGAAGGAACAUCUGGAAGCUGAAGAAAAAAAUGCUGAGGACCCCUGUGUAGAGACAGGCUAGACUUUGUGCCACUGAAGGAAUUGUGUUAAUGGAAUUUACCCAGUUUUCUCCUAACUCCAACUGGUCCUGCUCGGUAGUUAAAGAGAUCUGAGCUGAGGGCAGAGUUACCCCAGAUAUAGUUCCCUGGUUUCCCAGAAGCACACAGCCAAGUAGCCAAGGAUCCUUGAAGUGAGGGGGAAGCUUAAAGUUUGGACCAAGUACCUUGAGUGAACGCCAAUAUCUGAAACCUGGGCCAUGAUAUUAGGAAAGAUCUAGGGGCUGAGGGCUCCUCAGGCCCCCAUUAGACUUCUGAAUGGAGACUUCCAGGCAGAAAUUAGAUAAUUGUUGAUGUUUUUGAUGUAGUUACAGUGAGAAUGGACCUAAAAAUUUUUUAAUUGAUGUGACUCUACCUGCAUGAUUGAUCAAAAAAAGAGGAAGUUAGAUUAGGAUGAAAAAAUGAAAGUUUUAAUGACUUCUCUAUAUUUUCUUAAAAAAUUUAGUUACACAUAUAGCACACAAAGACAUUUGCAUGAACUUACUCAAAGUGUAAGACAACGUUACAGUUCCUCUUUACCUCUGUCACCUCCUCCCCAACCCCCCACUCCCUCACACACAAACACCCAGAGGGGAUCUUGAAUCAAAGCAUCUUUUCCAGGGCUCUGCAGUUCUGGAUGCCUAUGCCGAGAUGGAACUUACAUCAGCUUGGGUCUCUGGGCAACCGUGAUGAGCAGAACCUCAUUGGCCACCCACAACAUAUAUGUGGCAGACGUGAGAAAUAAGCUUUGUUGUGUUAAGCAAAAGCAAUAACGAAAACAGCAACAAAUGCACAAACUGGCUUCUGUCAGUUGUGUGUCUUCUCCCUUUCCUAUCUCUGUCUCUGUCUCUCUCCCUCUCUUGGCUCACUCACUUUGGGGGAAGCCGGCUGCCGCCUUGUGAACACACCAGGCAGCUUGUGAGGAGGCUUGGCGGUGAGGAAUUAAAGUAUUUGGCCAACAGCCAGGAGGAAAUUGAGGCCGACAACCACAGGAGUGAGCUGAGAAGCAGAUCUUCCCGCAGCAGUGCCUUCAGCUGACUGCAACCUUACCUUAGGACAAACCUGAGCCUGAACAAUCGAGCUAAGCCACUCCCAGACUCCCGACCCUCAAAAACAGCAGGAAAUAAUAAAUGUGUGUUGUGUAAAGCUACUAAAUUUUAGGAUAACUUUUGUUACUCAGCAAAAAAUAACUAAUACACGCCGGCAGGGCUGCAUGGUGACUUUUGCAGAGCCUUGACCCUUGUGCCUUUGUAGGUGCCUUCCUCCAUAAGCUAUGUUAAAAAUGUUAUGUCGUGACUAUGUUGGUAUAAAGACAAAUAUUAAUAUAAUCAAGGCUGGGUUCAUUAUUAUUAUAUCCAUUUUUUUCUUCUGAUUUUAGACAAAAUUAAAACUUUUUUAGGCCCUGAAGUAUCAUAGGCCCCAGCCUUCUGUGCUCAAUGGAUGUCAGCCCUACACUGGGGAACAACAUAAGAGGGACAUGCAGUCAAGAAUAAGUUAUUAGGGCCGGGUGCGGUGGCUCAUGCCUGUCAUCCCAGCACUUUGGGAGGCCAAGAUGGGUGGAUCACCUGUGGUCAGGAGUUUGAGACCAGCCCGACCAACCUGGUAAAAUCCUGUCUCUACUAAAAACACAAAAAU
This 2007-nucleotide long non-coding RNA is filed under the name Homo sapiens (human). RNAcentral's name for it is "HSALNT0119694". The record is from RNAcentral. Lineage: Eukaryota; Metazoa; Chordata; Mammalia; Primates; Hominidae.